AGAUGCCCCGGUGGCCGAAUGGGUAAUGCGGCCACCUGGUAGCGCCUUGGCGUGGGGACCCAAGGCGCGUGGGUUCGAAACCCGCAGGGGACAACAUUACAUCCGGAGCCAACUUCUCAGCUCCUAAAAUAAUGGGAUGUGAACCUGCCAAGUAGGUACCUUCGGGCGGACCUACUACUUGAUUUAGCUGAUUUUUCCUGGGCUGGGAACCUGUAUUGCAUGUACCAAAUCCUGUCUUUCAUUAAUUUUCCUAUGUUCCUGUUAUAUUCUUGGCGUCGUUCAACACUAAGCAUUCCUCCUGUAUAACCAACUCUUGCCUGUAUUUAACAUCACACAAGGACUCGUCAUAAGCACUGCUUGCAUACGAGUAUAAUGGAAGAAUAAUAAUAAUAAUAAUAACCAAUUAAAGAUACGAAGCAGUGAAAAUCUCUAGAUUGAGGCCACUGUUUUGAACACAUUGGCAUCUAAUCAUUUCAGUCAGAAAAUAAAGCAAC
RNAcentral lists this small RNA (494 nucleotides) under Histoplasma capsulatum var. duboisii H88. RNAcentral describes it as "Histoplasma capsulatum H88 hypothetical RNA". Lineage: Eukaryota; Fungi; Ascomycota; Eurotiomycetes; Onygenales; Ajellomycetaceae. The record is from RNAcentral.